UCGAUGAAGAACGCAGCGAAAUGCGAUAAGUAAUGUGAAUUGCAGAAUUCAGUGAAUCAUCGAAUCUUUGAACGCACAUUGCGCCCGCCAGUAUUCUGGCGGGCAUGCCUGUUCGAGCGUC
RNAcentral lists this ribosomal RNA (121 nucleotides) under Macrolepiota albuminosa. RNAcentral's name for it is "Termitomyces albuminosus partial 5.8S ribosomal RNA". It matches the Rfam family "5.8S ribosomal RNA", at positions 33 to 154 of the family's 154-position model. Rfam says of the family: 5.8S ribosomal RNA (5.8S rRNA) is a component of the large subunit of the eukaryotic ribosome. It is transcribed by RNA polymerase I as part of the 45S precursor that also contains 18S and 28S rRNA. Functionally, it is thought that 5.8S rRNA may be involved in ribosome translocation. Lineage: Eukaryota; Fungi; Basidiomycota; Agaricomycetes; Agaricales; Agaricaceae. The record is from RNAcentral.